This 292-nucleotide ribosomal RNA is filed under the name uncultured bacterium. RNAcentral describes it as "partial 16S ribosomal RNA". It matches the Rfam family "Bacterial small subunit ribosomal RNA", at positions 505 to 796 of the family's 1533-position model. The record is from RNAcentral.
GUGCCAGCAGCCGCGGUAAGACAGAGGGUGCAAACGUUGUUCGGAAUUACUGGGCGUAAAGCGCGUGUAGGCUGUCAUGCAAGUCGGGUGUGAAAGCCCAGGGCUCAACCCUGGAAGUGCACUCGAAACUGCAAGACUUGAGUCUCGGAGAGGAAAGCGGAAUUCUGGGUGUAGAGGUGAAAUUCGUAGAUAUCCAGAGGAACACCGGUGGCGAAGGCGGCUUUCUGGACGAGUUCUGACGCUGAGACGCGAAAGCGUGGGGAGCAAACAGGAUUAGAUACCCGCGUAGUCC